UACGAAGGGUGCAAACGUUGCUCGGAAUUAUUGGGCGUAAAGCGCACGUAGGCGGCUUGGCAAGUCGGAUGUGAAAUCCCUCGGCUCAACCAAGGAAGUGCAUCCGAAACUGCCGAGCUUGAGUACUUAAGAGGAUCGCGGAAUUCCCGGUGUAGAGGUGAAAUUCGUAGAUAUCGGGAGGAACACCAGUGGCGAAGGCGGCGAUCUGGGAAGAUACUGACGCUGAGGUGCGAAAGCCAGGGGAGCAAACGGG
Molecule: ribosomal RNA, 253 nt
Filed under: uncultured bacterium
Lineage: Bacteria
Description: partial 16S ribosomal RNA
Rfam family: Bacterial small subunit ribosomal RNA
Source: RNAcentral